This 492-nucleotide ribosomal RNA is filed under the name uncultured bacterium. RNAcentral's name for it is "partial 16S ribosomal RNA". It matches the Rfam family "Bacterial small subunit ribosomal RNA", at positions 29 to 507 of the family's 1533-position model. The record is from RNAcentral.
AGUGAACGCUGGCGGUAGGCCUAACACAUGCAAGUCGAACGGCAGCACAGUAAGAGCUUGCUCUUACGGGUGGCGAGUGGCGGACGGGUGAGGAAUACAUCGGAAUCUACUUUUUCGUGGGGGAUAACGUAGGGAAACUUACGCUAAUACCGCAUACGACCUACGGGUGAGGGCAGGGGAUCUUCGGACCUUGCGCGAUUGAAUGAGCCGAUGUCGGAUUAGCUAGUUGGCGGGGUAAAGGCCCACCAAGGCGACGAUCCGUAGCUGGUCUGAGAGGAUGAUCAGCCACACUGGAACUGAGACACGGUCCAGACUCCUACGGGAGGCAGCAGUGGGGAAUAUUGGACAAUGGGCGCAAGCCUGAUCCAGCCAUACCGCGUGGGUGAAGAAGGCCUUCGGGUUGUAAAGCCCUUUUGUUGGGAAAGAAAAGCAGCAGGUUAAUACCCCGCUGUUCUGACGGUACCCAAAGAAUAAGCACCGGCUAACUUCGUG